GAGAAGAGUCAGUGGUCCUGAGGUACAGUACUUAAGAUAACCCUGUGAAGGCUGAGAUUGAUAUUUGAAAUUCACAACUGAUCUUGGAGCCUGGUACAGCAGUCAUGGAUUUGUUCAUGUGUGGAUGUGAUGGAACUGAAGUCGCUAGGUUCAUGCUACCUGGAACAUGAGACUGACAAAUAGAGGAGCACUGAGUCAAAUGAAUCUCGGAGAAAUGGAGCUGGAAGAAAACUGGAAGUUUCAUUCUUGUUGCCCAGGCUGGAGUGCAAUGGUGUGAUCUUGGCUCACCGCAACCUUGACCUCCUAGGUUCAAGUGAUUCUCCUGUCUCAGUCUCCUGAGUAGCUAGUAUUACAGGCAUGCACCACUAUGCCCGGCUAAUUUUGUAUUUUUAGUUGAGAUGGGGUUUCUCCAUGUUGGUCAGGCUGGUCUCGAACUCCCGACCUCAGGUGAUCCACCUGCUUCAGCCUCCCAAAGUGCUGGGAUUACAGGUGUGAGCAGCCGUGCCCUGCUGAAACUUAUUUGUUUGAGCAAUAAAAGCCACAUAUUUCCUCUUUUGAUAAAGUGUAAAAUUAUAGUACUCUUCCAAGAUACUCAUGGAUUGAUAACAAAAAACUAACAACUGGAUAUUGUUUUAAAUAUUGAAGAAAAGCAAACAAAUCAACAUCAGCCAUAACAUUGCUUCAUAUGCCAAAACCAGGAUGAAAUAAUGCUUUUAUAGAAGAUGUGACCUGGGAUCAAAUAGCAUCAUUUACCAAAUGCAAAGGAUUGGUGUAGCUCUUGACUUCAAGGCAUAUUAAAUCUAGCAAAGCUAAGAUUCAAUAUAGAUGUAGGUCCAAUUUCAUGACAAAAAAUCAAAGAAACCAACCAAAAUCAGAGAACUUAGUAAGUUUGUGGGUAUGCAAUCUACAGAAGUGAAUUAUAUAUAUAUGAUAAAAGAGAAGAAAAGACUCUAUUUACAAUUCAACAAAAAAGAUAAAACGCUUAGGAAUAAGUAUGAGAGAUGGGCAUGAUUUAUAUAAAGAACAUUUUAAGAUGCUACCAAAAAACACAAAAUAAAAUGAAUAAAUGGGAAAGCAUAUAAUUUCUUAGAUAGGAAAAGUCAACAUCACAAAAAUUUAAUUCAAUAAAAAUAGCAACAGCAUUUUUAUUUUGUAAUCAGAGACAAGCUAAUACUAAAGUUCAAAUGAAAAAAUAAAAAACAAAAAUAGUCAAGAAAAAUCUGGAAAAGUGAUCAUAAAGAGAACUAGUUCUUUCACACAUUUAAACACAUUUUAAAUCUUCAAUAAUAAAAAUAAUGUGUGAGAUCUGGCAAGCUGGCCAAAUAGGAACAGCUCUGGUCUGCAGCUCCCAGUGAGAACAACACAGAAGGUGAGUGAUUUCUGCAUUUACAACUGGGGUACCUGGCUCAUCUCAUUGGGACUGGUAAUACAGUGGGUGCAGCCCAUGGAGGGCAAGCCAAAGCGGGUCAGGCGGUGGGGGGUGGGGGUGGUCACCUCACCCAGGAAGCACAAGAGGUUGGGGAACUCCCUUCCCAGCCAAGGGAAGCAGUGAGGGAAUGUGCCUUGAGGGACGGUGCAAUCCGGCUCAAAUACUAUGCUUUUCCCACAGUCUUCGCAACCCGCAGACCAGGAGAUUCCCCUGGCUGCCUACACCACCAGGGUCCUGAGUUUCAAGCACAAAACUGGGUGGUUGUUAGGGCAGACACUGAGCUAGCUGCAGGAGGCUGGAAAGCCAAGCAGAGCCAGAAUGGACAGAACCAUUCACUCCCCUGGAAAGGGGGGCUGAAGCCAGGGAGCCAAGUGGUCUUGCUCAGCAGAUCCUACACCCACGGAGCCCAGCAAGCUAAGAUCCACUGACGUGAAAUUCUCGCUGCCAGCACAGCAGUCUGAAAUCCACCUGGGAUGCUCCAGCUUGCUGGGGGGUAGGGGCAUCCGGCAUUACUGGGACUUGAAUAGGCGGUUUUCCCCUCACGGUGUUAAAAAAAAUGCCAGAGGGAAGUUCAAAUGGGACGAAUCCCAUCGCAGUGCAGCAAAGCUGCUGUAGCCAGACCACAUCUCUAGAUUCCUCCUUUCUGGGAAGGGCAUCCCUGAAAGAAAGGCAGCAGCCCCAGUCAGGGGCUUAUAGAUAAAAACUCCCAUUUCCCUGGGAGAGGGCACCUGGGGGAAGGAGUGGCUGUGGGCACAGCUUCAGCAGACUUAAACGUUCCUACCUGCAGGCUCUGAAGAGAGCAGCCGAUCUCCCAGCACAGUGCUUGAGCUCUGCUAAGGUACAGACUGCCUCCUCAACUGGGUCCCUGAACCCCGUGCCUCUUGACUGGGAGAUACCUCCCAGCAGGGGUCGACAGACACCUCAUACAGGAGAGCUCCGGCUAGCAUCUGGCAGGUGUCCCUCUGGGACAAAGCUUCCAGAGGAAGGAACAGGCAGCAAUCUUUGCUGUUCUACAGCUUCUGCUGGUGAUACCCAGGCAAACAGGGUUUGGAGUGGACCCCCAGCAAACUCCAGCAGACUUGCAGAAGAGGGUCCUGACUGUUAGAUGGAAAACUAACAAACAGAAAGCAAUAACAUCAACAUCAACAAAAAGGAUGCCCAUGAAAAAACCCUAUCCAAAGGUCAUCAACAUCAAAGAUCAAAGGUAGAUAAAUCCACGAAGAUGAGGAAAAACCAACGCAAAAAGGCUGAAAAUUCCAUAAACCAGAAUGCUUCUUCUCCUCCAAAGGAUCACAACUCCUUGCCAGCAAGGGAACAAAACUGGAUGGAGAAUGAGUUUGAUGAAUUGACAGAAGUAGGCUUCAGAAGAUGGGUAAUUACAAACUCCUCUGAGCUAAAGGAGCGUGUUCUAAUCCAAUGCAAGGAAGCUAAGAAACUUUAUCAAAGGUUACAGGAACUGCUAAGUAGAAUAGCCAGUUUAGAGAAGAAUGUAAAUGACCUGAUGGAGCUGAAAAACACAGCAUGAGAACUUCAUGAAGCAUACACAAGUAUCAGUAGCUGAAUUGAUCAAACAGAAGAAAGGAUAUCAGAGACUGAAGAUCAACUUAAUGAAAUAAAGCAUGAAGACAAGAUUAGAGAAAAAAGAAAGAAACGGAACGAACAAAGCCUCCAGAAAUAUGGGACAAUGUGAAAAGACCAAACCUACAUUUGAUUGGUGUACCUGAAAGUGAUGGAGAGAAUAGAGCCAGGUUGGAAAACAUACUUCAGGAUAUUAUGCAGGAGAACUUCCCCAGCCUAGCAAGACAGGCCAACAUUCAAAUUCAGGAAACACAGAGAACACCACAAAGAUACUCCUCGAGAAGAGAAACCCCAAGACACAUAAUCAUCAGAUUCACCAAGGUUGAAAUGAAGGAAAAAAUAUUAACAACAGCCAGAGAGAAAGGUAAGGUAAACCACAAAUGGAAGCCCAUCAGACUAACAGCAGAUCUCUCUGCAGAAACCCUACAAGCCAGAAGAGAGUGGGGGCUAGGCCAAAAUAUAACAUUCUUAAAGUAAAUAAUUUUCAGCCCAGAACUUCAUAGCCAGCCAAACUAAGCUUCAUAAGCGAAGGAGAAAUAAAAUCCUUUACAGACAAGCAAAUGCUGAGGGAUUUUUGUCACCACCAGGCCUGCCUUACAAGAGCUCUUGAAGGAAGCACCAAAUAUGGAAAGGAAAAACCGGUACCAGCCACUGCAAAAACAUACCAAAAUGUAAAGACCAUUGACACUAUGAAGAAACUGCAUAAACUAAUGUGCAAAAUAACCGUAACCAGCUAGCAUUAUAGCAGGAUCAAAUUUACACCUAAAAAUAUUAAUAAGUUCUUUGAAACCAAUGAGAACAAAGACACAACGUACCAGAAUCUCUGGGAAACAGCUAAAGCAGUGUUUAGAGGGAGAUUUAUAGCACUAAAUGCCCACAUGAGAAAGUGGGGAAGAUCUAAAAUCAACAUGCUAACAUUGCAAUAAGAAGAAGUAGAGAAGCAAGAGCAAACAAAUUCAAAAGCUAGCAGAAGACAAGAAAUAAUAACUAAGACAAGAUCAGAGCAAAACUGAAGGAGACAGAGACAUGAAAAACCCUUCAAAAAAUCAAUGAAUCCAGGAGCUGAUUUUUUGAAAAGAUUAACAAAAUAGAUAGUUGGCUAGCCAGAGUAAUAAAGAAGAAAAGAGAGAAGAAUCAAAUAGACACAAUAACAAAUGAUAAAGGGGAUAUCACCACUGAUUCCACAGAAAUACAAACUACCAUCAGAGAAUACUAUAAACACCUCUACGCUGAUAAACUGGAAAAUCUAGAAGAAAUGGAUAAAUUCCUGGACACAUACACCCUCCCAAGACUAAACCAGGAAGAAGUUGAAUCCCUGAAUAGACCAGUAACAAGUUCUGAAAUUGAGACAGUAAUUAAUAGACUACCAACAAAAAAGCUCAGGACCAGACAGAUUCACAGUCGAAUUCUACCAGAGGUACAAAGAGAAGCUGGUACCAUUCCUUCUGAAACUAUUCCAAACAAUAGAAAAAGAGGAACUCCUCCCUAACUCAUUUUAUGAGGCCAGCAUCAUCCUGAUACCAAAACCUGGCAGAGACACAACAAAAAAAAGGAAAUUUUAGUCCCAGGUGGGCAGAUCAAGAGGUCAGGAGAUCAAGACCAUCCUGGCUAACACGGUGAAACCCCGUCUCUACUAAAAAUACCAAAAAUUGGCUGGAUGUGGUGGCACACGCCUGUAGUCCCAGCUACUCAGGAGGCUGAGGCAGGAGAAUCACUUGAACCCGGGAGGCAGAGGUUGCAGUGAGCUGAGAUUGCACCACUGCACUCCAGUCUGGGUGACGAAGCAAGACUCCAUCACAAAAAAAAAAAAAAAAAAAAAAGGAAAUUUUAGGCCAAUAUCCCUCAUGAACAUCAAUGUGAAAAUCCUCUCCUCAAUAAAAUACUGGCAAAUUGAAUCCAGCAGCACAUCAAAAAGCUUAUCAACCACGAUCAAGCUAGCUUCAUCCCUGGGAUGCAAGACUGGUUCAACAUAUGCAAAUCAAUAAAUGUAAUCCAUCGCAUAAACAGAACCAAUGAAAAAACCCACAUGAUUAUCUCAAUAGAUGCCGAAAAGGCCUUCGAUAAAAUUCAACUCCCCUUUGUGCUAAAAACACUCAAUAAACUAGUUAUUAAUGGAAUGUAUCUCAAAAUAAUAAGAGCUAUUUAUGACAAACCCACAGCCAAUAUCAUACUGAAUGCGCAAAAGCUGGAAGCAUUUCCUUUGCAAACCGGCACAGGACAAGGAUGCCCUCUCUCACCUCUCCUAUUCAACAUAGUAUUGGAAGUUCUGGCCAGGGCAAUCAGCCAAGAGAAAGAAAUAAAGAGCGUUCAAAUAGGAAGAGAGGAAGUCAAAUUGUCUCUGUUUGCAGAUGACAUGAUUGUAUAUUUAGAAAAUAUUGUCUCAGCCCAAAAACUCCUUAAGCUGAUAAGCAACGUCAGCAAAGUCUCAGGAUACAAAAUGAAUGUGCAAAAAUCACAAGCAUUCCUAUACACCAAUUCCUAUACAACAGACAAACAGAGAGCUAAAUCAUGAGUGAACUCCCAUUCACAAUUGCUACAAAGAGAAUAAAAUACCUAGGAAUCCAACUUAGAAGGGAUGUGAAGGACCUCUUCAAGGAGAACUACAAACUACUGCUCAAGGAAAUAAGAGAGGACACAAACAAAUGGAAAAACAUUCCAUGCUCACGGAUAGGAAGAAUCAAUUUCGUGAAAACGGCCAUACGGCCCAAAGUAAUUUAUAGAUUAAAUGCUAUUCCCACCAAGCUACCAUUGACUUUCUUCACAGAAUUAGAAAAAACAACUUUAAAUUUUAUAUGGAACCAAAAAAAACAGCCUGUAUAGCCAAGACAAUCCUAAGCAAAAACAACAAAGUUGGAGACAUCAUGCUACCUGACUUCAAACUAUACUACAAGGCUACGGUAACCAAAACAGCAUAGUACUGGUACUAAAACAGACAUAUCGACCAAUGAAACAGAACAGAGUCCUCAGAAAUAACACCACACAUCUACAACCAUCUGAUCUUUGACAAACCUGACAAAAACAAGAAAUGGGGAAAGGAUUCCCUAUUUAAUAAAUGGUGUUGGGAAAACUGGCUAGCCAUAUGCAGAAAACUGAAACUGGACCCCUUGUUUACACCUUAUACAAAAAUUAACUCAAGAUGGAUUGAAGACUUAAAC
RNAcentral lists this long non-coding RNA (6162 nucleotides) under Homo sapiens (human). Its description in RNAcentral is "non-protein coding lnc-FABP5-2:8". The record is from RNAcentral. Lineage: Eukaryota; Metazoa; Chordata; Mammalia; Primates; Hominidae.